CGCCUCCCAGGCUCCAUCGAUCUUCCCACCUCAGCCUCCCAAAGCUUAUAUGGGAAUAUGAAUUUAUAUGUGAAAAUAGAAGAUGUCAACACUCACAUCACUGACUGUGUCAGUGACUGCUCGGUGGUGGAAAUGCUCUGGACGAUCAGGAAUGGACCUCCAGAUACCCAACUGGCUCAUGUAGUUCUCCUUGUAUUUUAUCUGUUAUAAAAAACACAAAGACAGCUGUAAGUCUUACCCAAAGUUAAUGUAAAUAUGGCUUCUUUCUGGAGAAUUUCAGAAGAGGGAGGUUGCUAAAAAAUAUAUGUAUAUGUAUAUGGUGAGUUGUAGAGCCCAACACAAGUAGAAAUAUUUAGGGACAUACUUUACUGAUGUCAUCUGUGACUUUGCGAUGAUAGACAAUGUCUAGGGCAUCUUUCACCGUGUGGUAUUUCCCUUUGGUCUUUUGAAAUGUUUCUUUGUAGCGUAGCUAGAAAGAGAAAAAACACAUGAAUUACAAAAAAACUACCAAGUUAAAUAAUUGAGCUCUUUUAAGCAUGAACUCUCUUGUCUUCUCUCUGGUUUUCCCAUGAAUACAUUUAGGAAAAAUUUAAAAGCUUAUUUCAGACCCUAGAAGAGAAAAAGAACACUAGGGAAAACUAAUGAAAUCCAAAGCAACUAUGGAGUUUAACCGAUCAUAAUGUAUCAAUCUUGGUUCACUGAUCAUGGCAAAUCUACGAUGGUGAUACAGGUGUUAGCAACAGGAGGAUAUGGGUGUUCCCCUGGGUGUGGGGCAUGUGAUAACUCUGUACAAUUUCGGUAAAUCUAAGACUACUUAAAAUAGAAAGUUUAUUUAAAUAUAAAACAUAAACCAAAAGUUCAUUUGAGAGAAAAAAAAAACCCAAACAAACAACAUUGUUGAGCCCAAGAUAUGCUAAUGUACAUGGAAAAGGGAAAAAGGUUUAGCUUCUAACUCCUAGUAUUAAAAUGCCUUCUUCACUAAGCAGUCUUAAAACUUCAUUUCAUUAUAAUCUUUAUCUUUGUGAUAUUUCAAGAGAAAACAGCUCUGAUUCUAACCUGAGAAUAUCAUAGAUGAUUCAUCUAAUCUACACAAGAUGGGUGCUUCUCUGCACAACCUAUUUUCAACGUCAAACAGUUCUUUUCUUUUGGGGUUAACUGAGCAAACACACAGUGAAAGAUGUCUUUUCUUUGACUUUGUAAUUUUGUUUUUUAGAUGGAUCAUAAGAUUGCUUAGAUCUACUUGUGGGGCUAGCCAUGGUUAAUACUGAAUUAAAUGCCAGAUACUACCCUUGUUACAUUAGACUAUUGUAAAGAUUAGAGUUAUCAGAAUUGCUACUGAUAAAGCCCUAGGGAUGGUGCUGUCCAGUGGGGCAUGAUGAAUCCCAGGGCCAAUUUCAAUGUGUGGCCACCGCUGUAAGAUAUUAAUUCAGCUUGGUUCAAAUAAAUAUUCAACAGUAACUUUGAAGUGAUAAUGAUGAAGGAUGUCACAAGAAGACUAAAAAUAUCCUAGAAGGUAGAUUUUGAGGGGAGUAUAUGAUUUUUUCCCAGCUUACAUUUUAAGCACUAACUGGCAUUGCCUUUUUCUAACUAGUAGGCUCUUCUCUUCUCCAAAUAAAAAUUCCUAACAAAAUUAUGGAACUGAGAUAUUGUUCACAUUUGCUGUGCCUUCUCUUUUCUGCCUCGGGCUUACUGCAAUUACCUUAAGAUGCCUUGAAAUCCUAGAGCUAUGUUGCUAAGUUGAGGGGGUCAUGAAGUUGGCUUGAUUUUUGGCUCAGUUUAAGUCCCAACAUGUCUAGUCCUCUAGGGGUGUGGCUCUGGUAAUGGGUACAGUGAAUUCCUGGUUGGACCCUGAGACACAAAACCCGUAAGGAUUGGCUAUUUACCUUGGAUUCACUACUUCACAUCUUCAUUAACAGAUUAUUAACAGAUUAUUACCAUUAAAAGGCAGCCUUGCCCUCGAUUGUGUGAUAUGGAAAAUGAACAUCUGUCCCCCCUAAUUUUAACCACUGUGUCAUGCAUCAUUCACAUGAUCUAUAUGCAAUUAAGAGAAAAAAGGGAACAAACAUUUUCUGAGUAACUAGGAGCCCAGCAGCAUGCUAGACACUUAUACAUUAUCUUGUUUGGUUUUAUUUAAUUAUCACAAUUCUCAUUAUCAUUCCACAUAUAUGAAAAGAGACUCGGAAAAAUUAGACAGAUGAUAUAGAGUCAUACAGCAGGCAAGUAACAGCAUCAGGAUUUGAAUCCAUGUCUGGCUGACUGCAAGACCAUAAUUUUAUGGAUAAGUAAAUUAACUGUCAAGUAUCCCCAGAAAAUGCUGCUGAAGAAUUAUAAGAAAGGGUCAUAUUUUUAUUCAGGAGAGAAUUGAGAAGAAUAGGCUUCUGGUAUCUCUCAGCUAUUUUGCCUGACUAGUAUUGUUUGGGCAUUUUUUUUUCUCUUUAAAAAAAUGUGUGUUUUUUUCCUAGGCCAUGGUUUAGAACUAUGGAUAUGGCUGAAAUAUGUUAUGUUUCUUAGGUACUUCAACCUCAGCUCUCCCCAUCACAACAGAAGAAAAAAGGAAGGGAUGCAUACAUCACUGGCAUUCCAGUAAGCCCUCUUGGCUCUGAUGAGGAUUGGCGUAUCUGGAACCGGAGUGUACUUGUCUUUCAUCUUUUCAUAUUGAAUCUUGUACUUUUUCUGAGAAAUAAAUGCAGAAGAGAGAGACAAGCUUAAGUGUCUUCCCAAUUUCCAACCAAGCCACCUACAGGUCUUGUGGAGGGGCACAAUGUGUUACACACUUUAAGAGAAUAGCUCUGCCUUUUGUGUUUUGAUGAUGCUGAGCACCAUUUAUAGUAAUGAGCUCUCUGAUCAGAGGUAGCAGGGGAAGGUUUUAACAAAGUAUUUUUCUUUUUACCCAGUGCCUCAGUGCUGAAUUCCCAUCUUACCUCACUGACCAUGUCCUUCACGUCUUUAGCAUGCUUCAAGGCUGUGGUCUGGUUUCCAGCGUGAUGAUGGGGUCUCUCUUUGGUGGCAAGUUCAACAUACAGAUACUGAAUAAUAGAAGAAAGUGAGGUGUCAUAGAGAUAAAGCAUUUAGUAUUUAGCAUUCAGUCCACUUCAUUCAUUUCUAACCAUUCAGUGGGAAGGUGGUAUCUGCUUACUGUCCUGAUGUUUGUUUGCUUGUUUUUUUGUUAUAUGCGUUUCUGUUCAUUUGUUUCUCUGUGUCUCAUAUUUGAAAACAAAUACACAUACUCCAGUUAUCUAAUAUGCCUACCACUGAGUAUGAUCCAAGCAAAGCCAUGUGAUAAAGAAUGCUAACAGAAGUAUGAGAAGAUUCUGAUAGACCCCUCAACAUAUUUUCCCCUGAUUUUUGCGUGACUGCAUGAAAUACAGCUUCGUUUGUCUGCGGAUAACAGGAAGAUUCUAUAGAAUGAUCAAGCAAUUAUUUUCAUUACUCCAAAACACAAGUUUUAUAACACUUAGGAAAGAAGAUGUGGCAUCCCUUACCUGAGUAAAACACAACCAUAAUUAUCAUGGCCCAAAAGAGAACUGCUUCUUCAAGUGCAGUGUUAAUGGGCAUGAGGUUGCAGCCAGGACAACCAAGUGUGUGAGUCUGCCACUGGCCAGGUGAGGCCAGGCACAUAUAAUCACCCCCUGUGAUGCCUGAGUGGCAGGCUUAUGAACCUCUGAGCUUACCUGACUCUGAAGCUUCUGCCCUCGCUUGGCUCUUAAAAGAUCAGGAGUAUCAGGAACUGAAGUAAAGAUUGACUUCUGCUUCUUGCCUGCAGCUCUGUAGACCAGCUAGACAUAAACCAAGUUAUCACCAUCAUUUCUGUUUCAUGGGCAUGUUAUGUUCUCUGCAGAUGCCUUCACUGCUUUUACAUAGAAAAGGCAGGAGCCCUCCCACUGCAACGAUUGCAGUUUCUUCCCAAUAAACCAACCUUUUAUUUACCUCCUGCACCCUCCUUUUCUUUUUUCCCUUGUGUCAAAACAAGAGACAUUCUCUAGCCUGUCCAAAAUUCAAGACUCCUGCUGUGUUCUUGGUCCCAUUUGCAGUUGUCCCUUCUAGUACCCUAUUCCAGCAACUGUCUCCAUCUCCUCUGUAUCUUCCACCCUUCCUGUUUUCCCAAUCCCCUCUUUUCACCUGCAAACAGACUCAAGACCUCCUGUCAUUAAUUAAGCCUUUUCCAGUCUCUAGCCAAUGGCCUUCAUUCUUCUUUUCUCAGCCAAGUUGCCUGUGUUUCUUCUUUGCCUCUCUUUUGAUUAAUUUCUCAAGACCAUAGUUUGGCUCCCACCUACCCACAUCAGUGAAGUCACACUCAUUGAGACUACCAAGAACUUCAUGAUUGCCAUGAACACUUCUCUGUAGCAACUGAAGCUGCUCAGUGUUUCAUUCCUGAAAACUCUCUUCUCUGGCUUCCAUUCAACCAUUCUUCCCUAGGUGGCUUCCUGUCUUUUAGACCUCCUCAUCAGCCUUCCUCUGGUUCUGCCCUCAUGCAAAGGCUGCUGUUAACUGGGGUGAAGGAUUGGCCCCUUUCACCCAGUACAUUCUCCCGGGGUGAUCUCAUCUGUACCUGUGAUCUCAAGCAUCACUUUGAGAUUGAUAACUUCCAAAUCUACAUAUCCAGUGUCUUUCCUGAGCUCCAGACCCAAGUUUUCUACAACUUUCUGAAUUUAGGUGAUUUACCAUGUUCAAUAUAUAAUUCUUUAUAUUGCCUCUAUCUCUAUCUCAAAUUGCUGCUUCUCCUAUUUUCUCUAUUUUGCUAAAUGACUUGUUGAUAUCCCAGUUACUCGGGCCAGAAACUUGGGGGAGUCAUCCUAGGCUCCUCCCUUAUUCCUACAUCAAAAUGGUCAUGAAUCCUGGGCUCCUCACUUUGUGAUAUUCCUGAAAUCUGAUUAUUUGCCAACACCACUGCCCUAGUUCAGCCUUCCAUCUUAUUUUCUACAUGUCAAAACCACCUGCUCAACUCCUCUAUUGGACCACCCCACGUGAGUCACCCAUCUUUCAAAAGUCUGAGACACAUAUUUUCUUAAUGCUCAAAUCUAUUCUUCAUAGAAAUAAUUCUUCAAUGAUUUUUCAUAAAGUCCAAGGUCAUUUAUAUAACACCUACAAGUCUUUAUAACCUGGCUCCAACCCAUGUUUCUAUAAUAGCUUCAUUUACCAGCAUCCUUCCACACCCUCCAUGUGCUAUGUAAACUAGUCCCAGUUACUGGAACUCAUUAUGGCUGCUUUCACAGACUGUCUUUCCUGCCUUGAAUGUUCUUCUCCCUUUUAUUUGCCUGGAAAACUCCAAGAGUCCAUGCUGUCUUGACUGUUCCUAUAUAAAGCCAUUUAUCACACCAAUGCCUGUUUCUUCUCCGAGACUAGGGCACAGCAGUUCAGUGGUACGAUCCUUUCAUCAACUAGAGCUCAGACAAAGGGCCUAAAAAAUAAUAGUUGCUAAUAAAUGUUGAAGGAAUUUAAUGUAAUGCGGCAAAUGAGAAAGAACAAAUGGAUACCAAAUAAAUUCUAAUCAUGGAUAUAAAUACCAGUUGAACAGAUAAAACGUAAGAAACACAGGCACACACAUCAAUUUCUUUAAAUCUGAAUUAUAUACAACUGCAAGUUAAAACAAAAUGUAACUCAUGUGUUUGGGGCUGUUUUUUCAUGUUACUAUUGAAAGAGAUAAACUAAAUGAAAACUUAAUGCUUCUUCCAAGCUAAAUUUUGAGUAAAGUAAAUCAACAACUCUUAGAAUUUUAUGGCUAAAAGGAGCUCAAAUCAUCAUUUAGUCCAACUCUUCAGUUUAGGAAAUUAGGGUGCUAAAGUUGUGAAUUACAUAAGAUCAUAUAGCUAAUUGGAAGUAAAUCUGGGACUAAAACCCAAUUCUCCCAAGCAAUUUUUUUCUUAUUUUUAAAUUUUAUUUAUGUAUUGAUUUUUAGAGACGGGGUCUCACUAUAUUGCCCAGGCUGGCCUCAAACUCCUGCACUCCAGUGAUCCUCUGGUCUCAGCCUCCCAAGUAGCUAGGACAAUAGAAGUGCUUAUCAGAAAAGGCUGUUCAAAGACCACUGGUUGUUUUAACUGCUGAAAGCAAGCCUGCGUCUUGGUAAGACUACUCCAGAAAGACCCCUACGAGAUGCUUACAUCACUGGUGAUGUCUCCCACAUAGCGGCAAUGGAUCACUUGGGGUGUGUAUGGCAGAGAGAUCAUGUGGCCCUGCAUCUUGAAGAAGUCUGAUUUGUAGAUCAACUAAAGAAAAAAAAAUACCCCAAAACAUAUGUAUUAGAGACCGAAUGAUUAACAUUCAUCCCUAGUCUCUACUCCCUGUCUUUCCUAAGAAAAUACCCACCUCA
Molecule: long non-coding RNA, 6307 nt
Organism: Homo sapiens (human)
Lineage: Eukaryota; Metazoa; Chordata; Mammalia; Primates; Hominidae
Exons: 3
Source: RefSeq, a predicted model, not a curated record